ACAUUUCCUUAAGAUUUAUAUUUAAGGUAGGUUCUGCCCUAUGAUUAUAAGUAAUUAAAUUUAAAUGGCUGCAGUAUCUUGACUGUGCAAAGGUAGCAUAAUAAUUAGUUUCUUAAUUAGGGACUUGUAUGAAUGAAUUAAUGAGAUAUUUAUUAUAUUAUAAUUAUAUUUAUAAUUUAAAUUUUAAGUCAAAAUGCUUAAUUUUAUUAUCGGGACGAUAAGACCCUAUAGAACUUUUAAUCAAUUUUUACUUAUUAUUAUUUAGUUUUUAUAAUUAAAGUAGAAAUUUAUUUUUUACUGGGGUGGUGAAUAAAUAUCAAACUUUAUUUUUUUUUAUCAUUAAAUCUAUGUUUAUUUUGAUCCAUUAAUUGUGAUUAUAAGAUUAAGUUACCUUAGGGAUAACAGCGUAAUUUUAAUGGAAAGUUCAUAUUUAUAUUAGAGUUUGCGACCUCGAUGUUGAAUUAAGAUAAAAUUAAGGGGUAGGUUCUUUAAUAUUAGGUCUGUUCGACCUUUAAAUUCUUACAUGAUCUG
RNAcentral lists this ribosomal RNA (531 nucleotides) under Tautocerus dworakowskae. RNAcentral describes it as "partial large subunit ribosomal RNA". The stretch from base 398 to 531 matches the Rfam family "Archaeal large subunit ribosomal RNA", at positions 2542 to 2676 of the family's 2987-position model. RNAcentral also lists the same sequence under 1 other name. Lineage: Eukaryota; Metazoa; Arthropoda; Insecta; Hemiptera; Cicadellidae. The record is from RNAcentral.